This 21-nucleotide microRNA is filed under the name Macaca fascicularis (crab-eating macaque). RNAcentral describes it as "novel_miR45-5p". The record is from RNAcentral. Lineage: Eukaryota; Metazoa; Chordata; Mammalia; Primates; Cercopithecidae.
UUAGUGGCUGCCAUAUUGGAU